GUUCCCAUCCCGAACACGACCGUUAAGCCCUCCAGCGCCGAUGGUACUUGGACCGCAGGGUCCUGGGAGAGUAGGACGUUGCCAAGC
This 87-nucleotide ribosomal RNA is filed under the name Paenibacillus oceani. Lineage: Bacteria; Bacillati; Bacillota; Bacilli; Caryophanales; Paenibacillaceae. The record is from RNAcentral.